UACAGAGGGUGCAAGCGUUAAUCGGAAUUACUGGGCGUAAAGCGUGCGUAGACGGUUAUGUAUGUCGGGUGUGAAAGCCCCGGGCUCAAUCUGGGAAUUGCAUUCGAGACUGCAUGGCUAGGGUGCGGAAGAGGGAAGCGGAAUUUCCGGUGUAGCGGUGAAAUGCGUAGAUAUCGGAAGGAAUACCAGUGGCGAAAGCGGCUUUCUGGUCCAGCACCGACGUUCAGGCACGAAAGCGUGGGGAGCAAACAGG
Molecule: ribosomal RNA, 253 nt
Filed under: uncultured bacterium
Lineage: Bacteria
Description: partial 16S ribosomal RNA
Rfam family: Bacterial small subunit ribosomal RNA
Source: RNAcentral